Molecule: ribosomal RNA, 253 nt
Filed under: uncultured bacterium
Lineage: Bacteria
Description: partial 16S ribosomal RNA
Rfam family: Bacterial small subunit ribosomal RNA
Source: RNAcentral
UACAGAGGUCUCAAGCGUUGUUCGGAUUCAUUGGGCGUAAAGGGUGCGUAGGCGGCGCGGUAAGUCGGGUGUGAAAUCUCGGAGCUUAACUCCGAAACUGCAUUCGAUACUGCCGUGCUUGAGGACUGGAGAGGAGACUGGAAUUUACGGUGUAGCGGUGAAAUGCGUAGAUAUCGUAAGGAAGACCAGUGGCGAAGGCGAGUCCCUGGACAACACCUGACACUGAGGCACGAAAGCCAGGGGAGCAAACGGG